Non-coding RNA from Arvicanthis niloticus (Nile rat), 262 nucleotides. The record is from RefSeq and is a predicted model, not a curated record. NCBI's taxonomy places the organism in Eukaryota, Metazoa, Chordata, Mammalia, Rodentia, Muridae.
CCCGGCACCACAAGUCAGACCCCUACGCAGCCGGUCAUCUUCGUGAAGCUCCCUCUCCGCUUAUGAUACAUUCCCCUCAGAUGCCACAGUUCCAGAGCCUGACCCAUCAGUCUCCUCCCCAGCAAAAUGUCCAGCCUAAGAAGCAGGAGCUGCGCCCACCUUCAGUCGUCCAGCCCCAGCCCCUGGUGGUAGUAAAAGAGGAGAAGAUUCACUCACCAAUCAUCCGCAGCGAGCCUUUCAGCACCUCACUUCGACCAGAGCC